Molecule: long non-coding RNA, 871 nt
Filed under: Struthio camelus australis
Lineage: Eukaryota; Metazoa; Chordata; Aves; Struthioniformes; Struthionidae
Description: lncRNA (ENSSCUG00000017176.1)
Source: RNAcentral
GCAGAGUUGCUAGAUGUUGCAGCGGGUGCUUUCAUCAAAUUCAGACUAGGUGGCACCUGUUGUGGACAUGUGUGCCAACAGCCCUAAAGACUAUACAAAACCAAACCCCAAGCAGCUGCUGCAAGAAAGGAUUCUUGGUAAGAUCUGGAAAGAUGAUGGCAGUGGCUGGUACAAACGUAUAGAGAACAACGGUUGGAGACUUCUUUCCAUGAGAGUAUUAUGCAGGAAGUUUGUGGGUCACAACAGAAGAUCCUACUACUGCGAUCUUAAUUCAAAGGGCUGCAGAGGGCUUAGUUGACACUGUUGAGAAAGAAGGAUCAAAAAAGGUAAUGGAUUGGGAAGUGGAUGAAAUACUGAGAUGGACAAAUGCACUCAACUAUGAGGAGUAAGUAUGUGUUUGGGAUCUUAUUUUGGAAGACUUAAUUGUUAAUGAUAAAAUUUGAUGAAACUUUCUCUCUAAAUCUCUAUACAGAGCCCUUCCCUCUAAAUCUCUCUUCAGAGCCAUGUAGUGCAGUGCAUUAGGAGAUAUUUCUACAUUCUAGCUAACAGGCCGUCACAUAAAACUAAAGAUGAUAUGUUAAUUCUUAGGAUUUUGUCAAUUGCAAUGCAUUAAGUGCAAUGUAUGUUUGUUUUAAUGUGCUUAGAUACAUAAGCCAAUGGAAUAAAACUGCAACAAGCAACUCUUCAGCUAACUGCCAAGGCUUCCAGUUUGUUACAUCACAACAUGAUAUAUAUGAAUUGUCCCAGAUUCCGCACCAUAACUUAAAAAGAAUAGCAAGUCUUAGUCCCUUACCUAUAAGAGAAGUGGAUUUCACAUCACGACCAACUGUAACACCAGUAAAUACACCUUUGCUUUGAGGAAGAAAUUUCU